GAUGAACGCUGGCGGCGUGCCUAAUACAUGCAAGUCGAGCGAACAGACGAGGAGCUUGCUCCUCUGACGUUAGCGGCGGACGGGUGAGUAACACGUGGAUAACCUACCUAUAAGACUGGGAUCACUUCGGGAAACCGGAGCUAAUACCUGCUAAUAUAUUGAACCGCAUGGUUCAAUAGUGAACGACGGCUUUGCUGUCACUUAUAGAUGGAUCCGCGCCGCAUUAGCUAGUUGGUAAGGUAACGGCUUACCAAGGCAACGAUGCGUAGCCGACCUGAGAGGGUGAUCGGCCACACUGGAACUGAGACACGGUCCAGACUCCUACGGGAGGCAGCAGUGGGGAAUUUUCCGCAAUGGGCGAAAGCCUGACGGAGCAACGCCGCGUGAGUGAUGAAGGUCUUCGGAUCGUAAAACUCUGUUAUUAGGGAAGAACAAAUGUGUAAGUAACUAUGCACGUCUUGACGGUACCUAAUCAGAAAGCCACGGCUAACUACGUG
Molecule: ribosomal RNA, 497 nt
Filed under: uncultured bacterium
Lineage: Bacteria
Description: partial 16S ribosomal RNA
Rfam family: Bacterial small subunit ribosomal RNA
Source: RNAcentral